AUCAAAUUAGCCUGGCUUUGUCCCUGAAAUGUGCAUUAGUAGUUAAGGGCUCAAAAGUAUUCUUUUGUCAGCUGCUGGGCUCAUGUCCAAAUUUGCCUAAGAAAGACUUGGGUUUCAAUGGAUAAUGGACAGAAAGGCAGGUUAUAUGAAAGCCAAAGGCCACCACUAAUCAGCUCUCUCCUGUUUCACCAAAUGGGUUGGGUGUGGUAAUGGAGGCCUUAUCACCAGAUCUUGGGGGUGGGCCCAGUUAUGACCUGAGGGGCCAAGGACUGACCUGGAGGUAGGGGAAGAGAGAAAAGCUGAAAUACAGGUGAGGAGCCUCUCAACUACCUUUCAGCUCACCUUCCUGGAAGGACUGUCAGCCACACACCACUUCCUUUGGUCUGCGCUCAAAUACUACGAGUCUGCCCAUGAGAAAGUGCCAGCUGAAGGUAGUCACAUCAAAUAAAGCGCCCAGGAAGGUCUCAUCUUUCCCCAGAAAACCAUCUGAGAUGAAAACACACACAUCCAAGUGCUCGGCCUGCUCUGCAGUGCUGCCGGGAGCUGGGUGGGGGCCGGAGCCCCUCCAUGCCUUCCACCCCUGCCAGGAGCCUGCAGAAACUCAGAGGGCUUUCUGCUGUGUCCCAACCAGGUGACCUUCCUUCAGCUUUCAGUCCUGCUCCAUAUUUAUAAACUUUCCUCCAAUGUACGCUUGUUUGGCACAUUUAGGCAAGGCUGUGUCUGGAAAAUUAGGAAAAUGGAAAAUUCCUCCCUUGUUUCCUUCUUACAAUAGAGACUAGUCUAUAGAUGAGAAAUCCAUGACCUCUGGAAUUAGUGCCUGGGGGUGACCCUGGCUCUCAGAGCCAUAGAACAUUGGUUCGAACUGCCGGAAGUCACAGAUCUCAGGUGGACUUCUUCUAGGGCCCUUGAGGUGGGAACUCCCUAUGCACACAUCCCCUCCCUGCUCCCAUGCUCACAUACCCAGGUGGUGUCUUAAGAGAUGCUGCCAAUCACCUUAAUAAAGUUAACUGCUAGUCCUCCAAACAGAGAGAUUUUCCAGUUGGGAAUGGAAAACUGAACCUUAUGGCUCUGGCCAUUGUCCUGCAGAGUCACCUUUCCCCGGAGCUCUCAUUAAUGACAGUGGCCACUGCCUACCUUUGAUGCUCUGGCCUAACCAUCCUUGACUAAUUCCUAGGAGCACAGCUGACAUCUGCAAGGACCAAAAAGGCUUUAUGGGAGGAGAAAGGAUACAAAAGAGAAUAAAUCCACAGGGAUAUACAUCAGGUUAUUUUGACUCUAAGACAAGGGUUUCCUUUUCUACUUCUGGAGUCUGCUCAGCCAUCUCUUCCCACCUCAGAAGAGGAGAAAACACCUCCUUUCUAUUUAAGGCCUGGAAUGAGAUCAAGGCAGGUAGGAAUCUACUCUCAUAGCCAGCUGAAACGCUGCCCUAAAAUGUUUUCUGGAGCAUUCUGUGUUUUAUUCUGCCUCUUCUAUAUGCCACAUUUUUUUUUUUUUUGCUUCAGGGUGAGUUGUGGGUUGGGAUUAUGGACACAAAGGUGAGCUCAGUCAUGGAGAGCUGUGGGGGUGUCACUGUGGGCUGUGGCAGGUUGAAUCCUACACAGAAGACUGUGCCUGCAUAGAGGGUGUUCCUUUCCCUUUCUGUCUGCCGUGAAAUAUUGAGUUGCAACUCUUGCAAAUAUCAGAAGUCCACAAGGUAGAUUUCAGUCUUAACUUUGACAUAUAAAUCAUAGUUUUAUUUGUUUAGCACUCAUGCAAAAAUGACAAAAAUUUUUAUCAGUCUAGGAAAUGGAAACCUGUUUUUAUUACAGUCAAGUAACCAGUUUGUCGUCAUUUAAAUAUGUAUACCUUCACUACACUACCCGGUGGUGGUGUCAACUGAAAAAUUGGGCAAAACCAAGACUGUGAUCACAGUUAUAGAAAAAUGUGAGACUGAUGUGAAGUUAUUUUUUUCUCUGACUCAGUGGAUGUAUUAUUUCCUGUUUGGAAUCACUGAGAUCUACUGUUUUUUAAAUUUUUUUCAGGUUGUCCCUUAACUGAUCUGGAGAACCUUGGAGACCAGAAGUUUUCACUGUAAUGCUGUUGGUGUCCUGCCAGCCCCUCUGGCCCUCAUUUCUCCUUACUUCCCUCCCUCCUCUUUGUUGUUGUCAGCAGGAUCUGCUCACCCUCUCCCCAGCCAUCACCACUUGCACCACCACAGCAUCUUUCUGGAAAAUAAAAAGAAAUGAAUGAAUCAUCUGCAGGACAGACCAGGGGUGUAGAACUUAGACUCCCAGAUUUUAACUGAAAUGCUGCCAUCCACUACCAAUGGCUUUUAUCUGUUUUAAACUGCAAACUGCAGGACUAAAUACAGUUUACACUGCCGUUCAAUAUACAUAUACACACUUACACAGAGACUGAAAAAGCAUUCUGUUUUAUGUUAUUAUGUUUUGUUCUACUCUCAUCCAAUUUUUCACAAUUUGGGUCACAGCACCCCAGCUUGUUUAAUGACCAACUUAUGUGUUUCCAAGCAAUUUGAAAAAACAUAGCUAUGUCUUUCCCUGGCUGCUGGUCACUCAAUCCAUCCUGGUAUUCUGCUUUCUUCAAUCAACAAGCCUCUAUCAAGAAUGUUGGCUCUUCUUUUAUUAUCUAAGUUCUGGGUCAUUGGCUUUAUUUGUUAUAUUAAAUGACCACAGGGCCACAGAAGUCUUCUCAACAGCAGUUUUAAGUUAACUUAAUUUCUUGCCUGUGCUUUUGGAUGACAUCAAGAGGAAAAGAAGGCAGCCCCGUGGGUAAAAAAUCCUGAGAAAGAAAAGCAUUCCCUCUCAGGAGACACAGGAGACCUAAGUUCAUGCCUCAAUUUGGUAAAAAAAAAAAUUGAGUCAGGGGAUUCUCGCGGUGCAUUGUGCCCUCUGCUGGCGAACUGGGCAAUGCUGUCCAUUCUGCUCUUUGCGGAGCAGGUUUCCACCUGGUGGCCGGAGGCUGAGACCUACCCAGGCAGAGAAUGGAUCUAUUGGAUGAGCGCGCAGGGGUAUCCACGGUUAAGGCCAGGAAUAUCUUUCUUCUCAUGCUGUGAGAAAGGUUGAGACAACGACAUUUUCUAAUUUGUCACCGUAUUCCUGAGACUGUGGUCAUCUGUGAGUGGGGAGCAGGAGGUCCUAUUUCUCAUGUACCCACAAGACAAGGGUCUAUGCAUUGGGCUUCCGAAAAGGUGGCCCUGACGUCGGACUACCUGGACUCGAGUCACACGCCACCACCUACUAAUUGGAUCCACUUGCUAAACACGAUGUCAUCACCCUUUAGGUAACUUGUAAACUGUGCCUCAGUUUCUUCAUGUGUAAAAAGGGGAUAGUAACAGUAGCUACGUUGUAGGAUAGCUAGUAAGUAAAAUGCUGCUGAUACGUAGUAAGACCUCAAUAUACAUUUGAUCUUACUAUUAUUAUUGUAUUGCAUAAUAAGAAUUAAUAUUGUUUUUACUAUACUGUUAUUUUUUACUAUAAUAAUUAUUUUGCAUUUAUUGUUUUUACUGCUGUCUUAAUGAUAAUGAUGAUAGCUAAUAUUUAUGGGUAACUUACAACAUUUCAGAUGUUCUACGUUUCACAUGUAUUGACUCGUUAUCAGACAUAUGAGGUAGGAGCGCUAAGGAUCUGCAUUUUGCCUAUGAGAAAAGAGAGGCAUGGUGUGGUAUUAGAGACUUCCGAGGUGCAGAACCUCGGUUCGAGGUGUCCAAUCGCUCUGUUCCAUCAGCCACAGGGCUCCAUCGCCAGAAUCCAAGUGAGAAUAGUAUCUCCUUGAUAGGGAGAUUGUAAGUAUUAAAUGCAAUAUGUCAAAAGCACGUUUAAACCCCGGGGAAAACUGGUGCUCCUGUAACUGUGAAAAUGGUAAGCCCAAGAUUACUUAAUACAACUGAGUUAAUUUUAGAGUAGUUUCUUCUUAAGAAAAAAUCUGAUUCUGUAGGAAAAUAGAAGCUCAUGAACUUAGAUAGUGAUUAUGUUUUUGGCUUUUGAGGAAAGAAUGAAUUACAGGGCUCAUUUAAAAGAAUGAUUCUCAAAGUUCAUAUAAACUAAAUAAAAAACAUGAAAACAUGUGACACUAGAAAAUAUGUAUUAUAUUGGAUCAGAACAAAAAAGAGGAAGGAUUGACAUAUUUUAGUACAUAAUUAUAAGUAAAAUGGAAAAGCACAGAAUAAACUACAAAAAUGUGGGCAAAAGUGUGAAAGAUAAGAGUUGAUAUCCUUGAUGCCCACUAAAAAAAUGGCCAAAGGAUAUGAACAGGAAAUUUACAAAAUAAGGGCUAAUUCAUACAAAUGCUUAUUGAAUGAGAAAGUGCAUAACAUCACAAUACAUCUGAUGCUACUAGUUAAGGACAUUUACAAUGUGCCGGAGUCUAUGCUAAUCUCAUUAAGUGUCUUAUCUCAUUUAAUACUGCCAAUGACCCCAUGUUUUCUCCAUUUUAAAAGUGGAGAAAUUAAAGAUGUAAGAGAGUAGGUAACCCACCCAAGCAUAAUGCAGUUGUAAGAAUUAGCCCUAGGGAAAUGUAUCACUGAUUAUGUGUUUCAUGAUAUUGUAAUAUUACUGUUAAAUUUUUUUUAGCAUGAUAAUGGUAGCAAGAUAAAGAGUCCUUGUGUUUUAGAAGGGGUAUGCUGGGGGCAUUUAUGGGUGAAGUCCUAUAAUGUCUGAGCUUUGCCUUAAAAUAAUCCAGUGCAGGGAAAGAGGAAACCUCCAGGAGAAUUGUUGAGCUAAGAGGGCCGUGGAGGAGGUCCACGGGAUCCAAAAUAUUUUCUCUAUUUUUAUGUAUGUUUGACAUUUUCUUUAAAAUAAAUUUGAAAAUUAAAGUGGUUAAAAAGAUUUUUUAAAAAACUCUUUGACACUUGAGCAAAUUUGCCUAUGACAAAAGAAAGACAAGUGUUCUGAAUAGUACGAUGGAGCUUGGGGAGGAGGAAUUUGGUUUUCUUUUCAAAAUAUAAACAGCUGUUUCUUUUCCUGACUCUUUGCUCAUUGGAAAAACUCAUAAAAAUAGGAAAUUAUUUUGAAAACUAAUUUUUAUUAGCCUAUAACAUAGAUUUCAUGUUGCAAUACAUACCUACUUGUUCUCUAAUAAAAUACUAAUAUAUCAACA
Non-coding RNA from Manis javanica (Malayan pangolin), 5094 nucleotides. The record is from RefSeq and is a predicted model, not a curated record. NCBI's taxonomy places the organism in Eukaryota, Metazoa, Chordata, Mammalia, Pholidota, Manidae.